RNAcentral lists this ribosomal RNA (492 nucleotides) under uncultured bacterium. RNAcentral describes it as "partial 16S ribosomal RNA". It matches the Rfam family "Bacterial small subunit ribosomal RNA", at positions 29 to 507 of the family's 1533-position model. The record is from RNAcentral.
AGUGAACGCUGGCGGUAGGCCUAACACAUGCAAGUCGAACGGCAGCACAGUAAGAGCUUGCUCUUACGGGUGGCGAGUGGCGGACGGGUGAGGAAUACAUCGGAAUCUACUUUUUCGUGGGGGAUAACGUAGGGAAACUUACGCUAAUACCGCAUACGACCUACGGGUGAAAGCAGGGGAUCUUCGGACCUUGCGCGAUUGAAUGAGCCGAUGUCGGAUUAGCUAGUUGGCGGGGUAAAGGCCCACCAAGGCGACGAUCCGUAGCUGGUCUGAGAGGAUGAUCAGCCACACUGGAACUGAGACACGGUCCAGACUCCUACGGGAGGCAGCAGUGGGGAAUAUUGGACAAUGGGCGCAAGCCUGAUCCAGCCAUACCGCGUGGGAGAAGAAGGCCUUCGGGUUGUAAAGCCCUUUUGUUGGGAAAGAAAAGCAGCAGGUUAAUACCCCGCUGUUCUGGCGGUACCCAAAGAAUAAGCACCGGCUAACUUCGUG